This 487-nucleotide ribosomal RNA is filed under the name uncultured bacterium. RNAcentral describes it as "bacterial SSU rRNA". It matches the Rfam family "Bacterial small subunit ribosomal RNA", at positions 29 to 507 of the family's 1533-position model. The record is from RNAcentral.
AUUGAACGCUGGCGGCAUGCUUUACACAUGCAAGUCGAACGGCAGCACGGGCUUCGGCCUGGUGGCGGAGUGGCGAACGGGUGAGUAAUGCAUCGGAACGUGCCCAUUUUGGGGGAUAACUACGCGAAAGCGUGGCUAAUACCGCAUACGCCCUGAGGGGGAAAGCGGGGGGAUUCUUCGGAACCUCGCGCAAUUGGAGCGGCCGAUGUCAGAUUAGCUUGUUGGUGAGGUAAAGGCUCACCAAGGCGACGAUCUGUAGCGGGUCUGAGAGGAUGAUCCGCCACACUGGGACUGAGACACGGCCCAGACUCCUACGGGAGGCAGCAGUGGGGAAUUUUGGACAAUGGGGGCAACCCUGAUCCAGCCAUGCCGCGUGAGUGAAGAAGGCCUUCGGGUUGUAAAGCUCUUUCAGCCGGGAAGAAAGCGCACUCUCUAACAUAGGGUGUGGAUGACGGUACCGGAAGAAGAAGCACCGGCUAACUACGUG